ACUGCUAUCGGAUUGAUACUAAGCCAUGCGAGUCUUUGUAGCAAUACAAGGCGGACGGCUCAGUAACACGUAGUCAAUCUAACCUAUGGACGAGGAUAACCUCGGGAAACUGAGAAUAAUACUCGAUAGAUCAUUAUGCCUGGAAUGGUUUAUGGUCCAAAUGAAUUUCGCCAUAGGGUGGGACUGCGGUCUAUCAGCUUGUUGGUGAGGUAAUGGCCCACCAAGGCUAUAACAGAUACGGGCUCUGAGAGGAGAGGCCCGGAGAUGGGUACUGAGACACGGACCCAGGCCCUAUGGGGCGCAGCAGGCGAGAAAACUUUGCAAUGUGCGAAAGCACGACAAGGUUAAUCCGAGUGGUUCCUGCUAAAGGAAUCUUUUGUUAGUUGUAGCACUACUGAUGAAUAAGGGGUGGGCAAGUUCUGGUGUCAGCCGCCGCGGUAAAACCAGCACCUCAAGUGGUCAGGAGGAUUAUUGGGCCUAAAGCAUCCGUAGCCGGCUUUGUUAGUUUUCGGUUAAAUCUAUAUGCUCAACAUAUGGGCUGCCGGGAAUACUGCAAAGCUAGGGAGUGGGAGAGGUAGACGGUACUCCGUAGGAAGGGGUAAAAUCCUUUGAUCUAUGGAUGACCACCUGUGGCGAAGGCGGUCUACAGAACACGUCCGACGGUGAGGGAUGAAAGCUGGGGGAGCAAACCGGAUUAGAUACCCGGGUAGUCCCAGCUGUAAACAAUGCAAACUCGGUGAUGCAUUGGCUUGUGGCCAGUGCAGUGCCGCAGGGAAGCCGUUAAGUUUGCCGCCUGGGAAGUACGUACGCAAGUAUGAAACUUAAAGGAAUUGGCGGGGGAGCACCACAAGGGGUGAAG
Molecule: ribosomal RNA, 859 nt
Filed under: uncultured archaeon
Lineage: Archaea
Description: bacterial SSU rRNA
Rfam family: Archaeal small subunit ribosomal RNA
Source: RNAcentral